This 301-nucleotide ribosomal RNA is filed under the name uncultured bacterium. RNAcentral describes it as "partial 16S ribosomal RNA". It matches the Rfam family "Bacterial small subunit ribosomal RNA", at positions 509 to 807 of the family's 1533-position model. The record is from RNAcentral.
CAGCCGCCGCGGGAAUACAGAGGGUGCGAGCGUUAAUCGGAUUUACUGGGCGUAAAGCGUGCGUAGGCGGCUUCUUAAGUCGGAUGUGAAAUCCCUGAGCUUAACUUAGGAAUUGCAUUCGAUACUGGGAAGCUAGAGUAUGGGAGAGGAUGGUAGAAUUCCAGGUGUAGCUGUGAAAUGCGUAGAGAUCUGGAGGAAUACCGAUGGCGAAGGCAGCCAUCUGGCCUAAUACUGACGCUGAGGUACGAAAGCAUGGGGAGCAAACAGGAUUAGAUACCCCUGUAGUCCCUGUCUCUUAUAC